UACAGAGGUGGCAAGCGUUGCUCGGUAUCACUGGGCUUAAAGGGCGCGUAGGCGGCAAGGUACGGUUCGGGUGAAAUCCCUCGGCUCAACCGAGGAACUGCCCGGGCGACGGCCAUGCUAGACGGCAUCAGGGGAAGAUGGAACUCCCGGUGGAGCGGUGAAAUGCGUAGAUAUCGGGAGGAACGCCGGUGGCGAAAGCGAUCUUCUGGGGUGCCUGUGACGCUGAGGCGCGAAAGCUAGGGGAGCAAACGGG
This 253-nucleotide ribosomal RNA is filed under the name uncultured bacterium. Its description in RNAcentral is "partial 16S ribosomal RNA". It matches the Rfam family "Bacterial small subunit ribosomal RNA", at positions 524 to 776 of the family's 1533-position model. The record is from RNAcentral.